RNAcentral lists this ribosomal RNA (253 nucleotides) under uncultured bacterium. Its description in RNAcentral is "partial 16S ribosomal RNA". It matches the Rfam family "Bacterial small subunit ribosomal RNA", at positions 524 to 776 of the family's 1533-position model. The record is from RNAcentral.
UACGGGGGGGGUAAGCGUUGUUCGGAAUUACUGGGCGUAAAGGGCUCGUAGGCGGCCAACUAAGUCAUACGUGAAAUCCCUCAGCUUAACUGGGGAACUGCGUGUGAUACUGGAUGGCUUGGAUUUGGGAGAGGGAUGCGGAAUUCCAGGUGUAGCGGUGAAAUGCGUAGAUAUCUGGAGGAACACCGGUAGCGAAGGCGGCAUCCUGGACCAAUAUUGACGCUGAGGAGCGAAAGCCAGGGGAGCAAACGGG